UAACACGUAAAGAAUCUGCCCUGAAGCGGGGAAUAACUAUCCCAACGGAUAGCUAAUACCGCAUAAUGAUGGAGGUGGCAUCACCUCUUCUCAAAAGGCUUCGGCCACUUCAGGAUGACUUUGCGUCCCAUUAGCUUGUUGGCGGUGUAACGGACCACCAAGGCGACGAUGGGUAUCCGGCCUGAGAGGGUGUACGGACACAUUGGGACUGAGAUACGGCCCAG
This 224-nucleotide ribosomal RNA is filed under the name uncultured bacterium. Its description in RNAcentral is "partial 16S ribosomal RNA". It matches the Rfam family "Bacterial small subunit ribosomal RNA", at positions 111 to 334 of the family's 1533-position model. The record is from RNAcentral.